CCUACGGGAGGCAGCAGUGGGGAAUAUUGCACAAUGGGGGAAACCCUGAUGCAGCGACGCCGCGUGAGUGAAGAAGUAUUUCGGUAUGUAAAGCUCUAUCAGCAGGGAAGAAAAUGACGGUACCUGAUUAAGAAGCCCCGGCUAACUACGUGCCAGCAGCCGCGGUAAUACGUAGGGGGCAAGCGUUAUCCGGAUUUACUGGGUGUAAAGGGAGCGUAGACGGCAGCACAAGUCUGGUGUGAAAUGCCGGGGCUUAACCCCGGAACUGCUUUGGAAACUGUGCAGCUUGAGUGCAGGAGAGGGAGGUGGAAUUCCUGGUGUAGCGGUGAAAUGCGUAGAGAUUAGGAGGAACACCAGUGGCGAAGGCGGCCUACUGGACUGUAACUGACGUUGAGGCUCGAAAGCGUGGGGAGCAAACAGGAUUAGAUACCCUAGUAGUC
This 440-nucleotide ribosomal RNA is filed under the name uncultured bacterium. Its description in RNAcentral is "partial 16S ribosomal RNA". It matches the Rfam family "Bacterial small subunit ribosomal RNA", at positions 338 to 795 of the family's 1533-position model. The record is from RNAcentral.